Molecule: RNA transcript, 2432 nt
Organism: Acanthopagrus latus (yellowfin seabream)
Lineage: Eukaryota; Metazoa; Chordata; Actinopteri; Spariformes; Sparidae
Exons: 10
Source: RefSeq, a predicted model, not a curated record
UGUAAUUGUACAGCUCACACAGUGUCAGUCCUCCUGUCAGCUCCAGUCGUACUCAGCUUUAUAUCUUUUUGGCCGGUAUGGAUGGAUGGAGACAGUGUUUUUUUCUACUUAUGCCACUGUGUGUGCAUGCUUACACUAAAGAGACUGUUGUGAAGACCGUCAGUCGACAACCAGACGUUACUCCAGUAUGCAUGAGUAAAAACUUGGGUAUGACUAUACUGGUAAGAUGUAAAAUCAGCACAGAGAGACACCAGGGGGAGAAACUCUGCCUGCUUUACAUGCCUGGCAAGCAAUUUGACCAAGAAUGCGACUCCAGGUUCACUCUGAUUAACAAGAAUCGGACCGUAUUUAUCCACCUGGCCAGUUUAAUGUCAGUGGACAGUGGGAAUUACAUCUGUGAGUGUUCAUAUGAAAGAGGAACACAUGUUACCCACCUUAAAAUUACAGUGGAAGGUGAGGAGGAUGUUAGAUUUUCUGGCACAAAGUUCGCCGUCAUCGCUCUCAGUGUUGCUACUGGAUUCAUCAUUACAGCGGGGAUAAUCUGUGGACUUAUCCUGAGAAGCAUUCAAAACAGAGUCAACACAAGAUCAGGUGCAUCUGAACUAACCAGAUGUGGAAUUCCCCCGGUUCUGGACGCAGAUGACGUCUACACGAGCCUUCAGCAGCCAGCCGCUGAAGUCUACCAAACUAUGUCUUCAAGUCGGCCUCAUCGUGAUUCUGACGUGGAUCAAACUGACAUCUAUGCAAUUAUCAAACAGGAAAUAGUUGGCAAGGAGAAGGAUUUCCAUCCAAAUAGCCCAAUCUAUGAAACUAUAGGUUGCUUUAAAACUUUAGAUACCUGUUGAUGUCCAAGACACAGGCUUCUUAUGUCGUAUUUUUAUUGCCAGCAGUAAUGAAAUCUGAUGUCUUUUUGAAUAUGUGGUGACCUCAGGCAUAUUACCUUUAGCAUAUUACUUUUACUUACACUCAAACUGUUUUCCAAUCUGGUAUAGACAUGAAAAUCAUCAUUUUUAGUACAUAGGAUCCUGUAGCAGGGUCAAUGCUGUUGCUGUAAAGGAUAUAACUGAAUGUGCACAACCUUGUGCUGUCAAGUUACCUGCACACGUUUCUUACUUUGGGUAAUCGUGUGGGUGUGUUAUCGCAAUAACAAGAUUGUUAAAAGCUCUUAUGUCAAAUCAUCAAAGUUGUAAUUACAGCUGGGAAACACCCUGAAAACCAAACGAAUUGGACACCUCGUACCAGUCGAAGUAUGUAGUUUAAGGUGAUUAGAGCCACAUGUUAUAGAGACAGUAUUAUAUAGUCACUGCACAAUAUGUUUAAUCCUUACUUGUUAUCUCACGACUGUCCUGUGCUUCUUAUUUUGGGUAAUCCCGGUCGCCGUGAUUACAGCAUUAUCUUAUUUUAUGGACAUUCUUUAUCAGAAUAAAGGCUUGUGAUUGGUUUGUUUGCUGUCUGUUUAGUCUGAGAGUAUCUUAACAUGAAAGCAGAAGCACCUGUAGCAGCACUUCCCUUUUAGACGACUUCACGCCUGCUCAUACCCCUGUGUGAAUCGAGAAUUUUGGGUUGCGGUAGCUGAGUGGUUUAAAGAUGCACGUCCGACCUUCUCGCUUCAGUACAACACACUGGGCACUACCAGCAGCAGCUCAGGGCUGUUAAGAUGUCUUGACCAGGAUGGGUAGAUGGAAACUGUGGUUUGUUCUGCUUCUGCCGCUGACUUUCCAAACUGACAGCAAAGAUGUUAAGCAGCUCCUUGUGAAAACAAUUGGGAGCAAACCAGACGUCACUCCAGUGUGCAGCAAUGAAACACAGAAUCCCAUCAUGCUUAUAGUUUUUUAAAACCAGAGGAUGGUGGAAACUACACCUGUCAGUGUUCACGUUCUUAUGGAACAUCUAGCCUCCAUCUGAAUGUCACUGUGGAAGCGGAUGAAGACCCCAGCAGCAACACAAAUAUGCCUUACUUGUACGUUGUAAUUGGUGUGUUUGCGUUCAUCGUAACCGGAGUUAUCGUUGGAGUCAUCCACAGAAAAACUCAUCAUGGGAGACGAGCAGAGCCGCUGCACGAUCGUCCAAACACGGAACCAGGAAUCACUGAGCCGUACAUGACCUACAUUCAGAGGGAGAAUGAGCUUUAUGCUGCCAGUGUGCACAGUUACACCAGUGCUAAUAAUUCAAACAUGUUCCCUUAAGAUAUCACAGAUUUAAUGAUGCAUUUGUAGGGUUUUAGUUGUACAGUAUUGUUUCUGAUAAAUGUUUUAAAUAAAAGAGGGUUUGUUAUCCAUAAGCUGAAUAUUUUGCUUUGCCAGAUAAUUUGCAGUGCAUUAAACCUGAAACAAAGCUAAAUUUAUAUACAUUUUAUUUGUUUUUAAAGGAGCGGGUUGAAUGCAUUACACUGUCUGACAAAUAUGAUGAUAAUAAUAAAUUCUGUAAUAAAU